RNAcentral lists this unclassified non-coding RNA (369 nucleotides) under Stifftia fruticosa. Its description in RNAcentral is "partial miscellaneous RNA". Lineage: Eukaryota; Viridiplantae; Streptophyta; Magnoliopsida; Asterales; Asteraceae. The record is from RNAcentral.
CAGCAACGUCCACCCGUGCAUGCCUCUUCAUUUGUGCGUCAAGGUUGCUUUUGCCUUGAGCAUUGCUUUGGUUCCCUGUGUUGCAUGCCUACUCGAUGGUAUUAUAUGGUUUUAUCGAAGUCCCUUUUCAUCAUGCGUCGCUCGCCCGACGCGGGGUGAACCUCGAAGCGGUCUCUGUGAUCCGUAUCGUCGAUGCGUAUGCAUAGGCGACAUGGCCCAUUGAGCAUUGCUUGGUCUCUCGGAUACGGAACAUCGUGUGGGCAUGGGGCCUUUACGACCCCUYGUUUGUCCCUGCUAAGCGUUCUCGCUUCUUUAAAACGACCGUCGGUCACGUGUUGACGUGUUCAUGCGGGACCGAUAACGUCGAAG